RNAcentral lists this long non-coding RNA (1237 nucleotides) under Heterocephalus glaber (naked mole-rat). RNAcentral describes it as "lncRNA (ENSHGLG00000044220.1)". Lineage: Eukaryota; Metazoa; Chordata; Mammalia; Rodentia; Bathyergidae. The record is from RNAcentral.
UACAAUUUAAAGUUGUUUCUCAGUCUCAGUACAUUUGGCUAAUGGUUACCAUCUUGUGGGCUAUGCAAAUACAGAACAUUUCCAUCCUCAGAAAACUUGGUCACCACAGAGAAUCACGGUCUCGGCUGUAGAUUUACAGUGUGUUGGAAACGUGAAGCUCAUUCACUCCUGUACGGCUAUGGAAUAGAUGAGGCUUGUGCAUCAUUAGAAAGAAUACUGCUCAAUAAAAUGAACUGAUACAUGCUCCCACAUGGAAGAAGUGGACCCCAAAGUGUUUACAUCGUAUGGUUCCAUUAUAUGAAAUCGAAGAACAGACAAAACUAAUCUAUGGUGAUAGAAAUCAGAAGUGGCUGCAGGGAAGUAAUCAGAAAAAGGAAUAAGAAACUUUCUUGGGUGAUGCGUUCUACUUCCUAAAGUAGUUGAUAAACUGUCAAAAGUAACUGAACUGAACACCUAAGACCCAUUUAUCUCUUACUUGCUAAUUAUUUUAAAUGUUUUGAUCAUGUAGAAGGGAUGUUGAGUUGUGCACACAACUUACCAGUCUCCAAAAGUGCUUGCAUGUGCUUGGCAACAGGAACAGUGUGGGCACACUAGUAGACCUUGGUGAGAAGAUCUGAACUAAAGCUUGGCCAUAAACAGUAUAAACUAAGGAGAUAUUCAUUUCAAGUCUUUAAAAAAGCUAAAUUCAUUCCUAAGGGCUUUGUCAUAAUGCUCCUAUUCUAUUGUUGGAUAGCCCUACUACACAAAAAGGCAACCUGCCAGUUUUUUGAUGUUUUAAGUCUAAAUGUCUGAAACUAGAUGUCCAUCUCAAAUGCAGAAAAUAGAAAGUUAACAGACAACAAAGAUUACUAAAUUGGGCUUACCCGUAAAUUUAGGAUGAUCCAAGGACCAAAUAAGCUGAUAUGCAGAAUGUACAUAUGUGAAAUAGUGCAUUAUUUUGAAAAGGUCCUCAGCCUCCAACAAGUUCUCCAAGAUUUUAGAACUGGAAUCCUAAACUAAAACUGACAACCCUUGGUUCAGUUCAUAAAAUUUCAUGAAUAUACAUACACAUAUAAAUAUAUGCAUAAAUUAUACAUCAUUCUUCAUCUUUUUCAACUCCUGAUUCUGCCAAGGAAGAACAAGGGGCAGAAGGUUUGACUUGCUUUAUUGAAAUCAUACUGUUUUAAUAAACCCAGAAUAAUGUCUGGCUUUUUUCAUUGUUAGUUUCCUUUUUCUACAAUGUUCUCAUAAACCAGGG